This is a non-coding RNA of Pelobates cultripes (western spadefoot toad), 88 nucleotides long. Lineage: Eukaryota; Metazoa; Chordata; Amphibia; Anura; Pelobatidae. The record is from the annotation of a GenBank genome assembly.
AGGAAGCCCAAUACAGAUAACAGCAUCUCCACCGGAAUAUUCUAUCCACUUUCCACAUGGAGUUGCUGUUACAAGUCCUGAGCCUCAU